RNAcentral lists this ribosomal RNA (565 nucleotides) under uncultured bacterium. RNAcentral's name for it is "partial 16S ribosomal RNA". It matches the Rfam family "Bacterial small subunit ribosomal RNA", at positions 355 to 914 of the family's 1533-position model. The record is from RNAcentral.
UGGGGAAUUUUGGACAAUGGGCGAAAGCCUGAUCCAGCAAUGCCGCGUGUGUGAAGAAGGCCUUCGGGUUGUAAAGCACUUUUGUCCGGAAAGAAAUCCUUGGCUCUAAUACAGUCGGGGGAUGACGGUACCGGAAGAAUAAGCACCGGCUAACUACGUGCCAGCAGCCGCGGUAAUACGUAGGGUGCAAGCGUUAAUCGGAAUUACUGGGCGUAAAGCGUGCGCAGGCGGUUUGCUAAGACCGAUGUGAAAUCCCCGGGCUCAACCUGGGAACUGCAUUGGUGACUGGCAGGCUAGAGUAUGGCAGAGGGGGGUAGAAUUCCACGUGUAGCAGUGAAAUGCGUAGAGAUGUGGAGGAAUACCGAUGGCGAAGGCAGCCCCCUGGGCCAAUACUGACGCUCAUGCACGAAAGCGUGGGGAGCAAACAGGAUUAGAUACCCUGGUAGUCCACGCCCUAAACGAUGUCAACUAGUUGUUGGGGAUUCAUUUCUUAGUAACGUAGCUAACGCGUGAAGUUGACCGCCUGGGGAGUACGGUCGCAAGAUUAAAACUUAAAGGAAUUGAC